This is a long non-coding RNA of Cannabis sativa, 2006 nucleotides long. RefSeq lists it as uncharacterized. The transcript has 5 exons. Lineage: Eukaryota; Viridiplantae; Streptophyta; Magnoliopsida; Rosales; Cannabaceae. The record is from RefSeq and is a predicted model, not a curated record.
CAACACCUUCUCCUAUAGUUCCUACUCAAAAGGUGUCCAGAAAAUCCAAUGGGGCCUCAAGUAGUCCAAUAUUAGUUACACCGGAAGCCAAGACUAAGGGAGUUCUCAAAAGAAUGAGAAGAGAGAGACUUUCAGAAGCAAGCCCUUCAAAGAAACAGGGGUCAAACACACUACCACUUGAAUCUCCUGAGAAAUCACAAAAAGCCCCUAAAAAGGCAAAUCCUAACCCUGCAAUAUCAAAAAGAAAAUCACAUCGAUCACAGUCAUUGGAAGUAGAGAAUCUUGAAAACAUAACAAUAGGUGAUGAUGACUUGGUGGUGGGCAAAGAAGAACCUAAAGAAGUUGUGACCCCUAUUAAAGAAUCUACAGAAAGGAAUACAAGAGGACCAACUAAAUUGAAGACUUUAGCAAUAGACAUUGACAAUCGUUUCGAAGUGAAGUUUAAUUCACGGGGUCAACCAAUUGGUGAAGCAUCAGUAUCUUUGUUCAUUCUUAGGACCAUUGGUAAGAGAAUUUGUACCAGUAACCAUACGUGAUUGGAGAAAGGUUGCUAAAGAAUUGAAAGAUAUUUUAUGGAACUAUGUUACGAUCUUUGGAGAGCUUCAAAAUCAAGAUUGGUUACUAAACUUCAAGAGGCACCAAAUGAAGAAGUGAGAUUAAAUUUGCGACCUAAGAACAUCAAGUCUGAAGAUGAAUGGAAGACUUUUGCUAGGGAGAAAACCAGUUCUGGAUUUUGGGUAAUUAAUGCUAACUUUACUUUCAAUUUUUUUUUGGUUUAUAUCAUCACAUGAUUAAUCAUUUAUUGUUAUAGGCUAAAACUGAAAAAAUCAGAGAGAGACUGAAGAAUCAAGUUCUUCACACUUGUAGCCGUAAAUGAUAUGCACGAUUGAUUGAUGAAUUGACAAACGAUAGUGCAAGCAAAGAAGUUCCUUCAAGGGUUGAUGUUUGGACGAAGGCACAUAAGAAGAAAAACGGAGAAUCUGAGUUUGUGGAAGAACAUAAAAAAUAUACAACUGUGUCUUCUUCGACUACAAAUGUCAAUGAGGAUAUUCUUUCAAAGGUGCUUGGUCCCGAAAAGAGCAGUUGUGUGAGAGCUUAUGGAAGAAGAGUUGCUCAAACAAAGUUAACAAUUGGAUCGAUGAAAGAUGGUCGUGUGACUAAUGAAAAAAUGAUACAUAUGGAGUAUAUAAUUCAGUUAGAAGAUCGAUACAAAGAGUUAAAAGAACGAAUGUCACAUAUGGAUCAACUAAUUCAUUCUUUAAUGAAAAAUCAGACUGUGGAGCAAUCAAAUAAUCAUGUUCCUGCUGAUAAGGUAACAUGUCAUUUAUAUUUGAAACUAUAUCUUAUUUCUAAAUCAAUUAAUCUUGUGUUGAAAUGUUAUUGAAGAGCAAAAAGGUUAACACGCAUGGCGAUAGAUGCAAGAUUUUGGAUUGGUGUGGAUCUGGUGAAACUAUUGCAGAUGGGCACUUCGUCUCAAGCGAUCCAAAGGAUCUCGUCCAUCAGAUUCCUCUCGGACCUAAUGCUAUGAAAAUAGGAAUAGAUGUGGUAAGACAACCUGGUGCAUUUUUGUGGAGGCCUACUCCAGCCAUUACUUGUAUCGAAGAAGCUAUUGCCAAUACAAUUGCAUGGCCAGCUGAUAAAGUUAUAAUGAGGUAAUAAUUUCUUCAAUAUUUCAUAUGUUCUAAAUUUUUUCUUUAUGGUAUAUGCAUUUUUGUACUUUUCUUUUUCCUUGAUGUUUUAUUUAGCCCCAAAUCAACGAGUAAUCAAAAGGUUGAAGUAACAUAAGAAGAACUAGCGAAGAUCGCGGAGUAUAAUCAUGGACUCAACUGUUUACUUUCGGCGUGCUUUCGUAAUGAUUGAAUUUCUUUCCAUAUCUUCAUUUGUUGUUGUUGUGAAAUAACUUGUAUUAACUUUGAUUUUCAACUAGAAUUUGUAUUAGGUCUUUUAGAUCUUUCAUAUAAUAUACUUAACCAGUCUUUAUUGUGUUUUUUGAUGAUAUUUAUUUG